CUUCGGGAACUGUGAGACAGGUGCUGCAUGGCUGUCGUCAGCUCGUGUUGUGAAAUGUUGGGUUAAGUCCCGCAACGAGCGCAACCCUUAUCCUUUGUUGCCAGCGGUCCGGCCGGGAACUCAAAGGAGACUGCCAGUGAUAAACUGGAGGAAGGUGGGGAUGACGUCAAGUCAUCAUGGCCCUUACGACCAGGGCUACACACGUGCUACAAUGGCGCAUACAAAGAGAAGCGACCUCGCGAGAGCAAGCGGACCUCAUAAAGUGCGUCGUAGUCCGGAUUGGAGUCUGCAACUCGACUCCAUGAAGUCGGAAUCGCUAGUAAUCGUGGAUCAGAAUGCCACGGUGAAUACGUUCCCGGGCCUUGUACACACCGCCCGUCACACCAUGGGAGUGGGUUGCAAAAGAAGUAGGUAGCUUAACCUUCGGGAGGGCGCUUACCACUUUGUGAUUCAUGACUGGGGUGAAGUCGUAACAAGGUAACCGUAGGGGAACCUGC
This 497-nucleotide ribosomal RNA is filed under the name Salmonella enterica subsp. enterica serovar Infantis. Its description in RNAcentral is "partial 16S ribosomal RNA". It matches the Rfam family "Bacterial small subunit ribosomal RNA", at positions 1018 to 1515 of the family's 1533-position model. The record is from RNAcentral. RNAcentral also lists the same sequence under 1 other name. Lineage: Bacteria; Pseudomonadati; Pseudomonadota; Gammaproteobacteria; Enterobacterales; Enterobacteriaceae.